GAUCAUGGCUCAGGAUGAACGCUAGCUACAGGCUUAACACAUGCAAGUCGAGGGGAAACGAUAUUGGAAGCUUGCUUCCGAUAGGCGUCGACCGGCGCACGGGUGAGUAACGCGUAUCCAACCUGCCCACCACUUGGGGAUAACCUUGCGAAAGUAAGAUUAAUACCUGAUGGUAUCUUAAGCACACAUGUAAUUAAGAUUAAAGAUUUAUCGGUGUACGAUGGGGAUGCGUUCCAUUAGGUAG
This 244-nucleotide ribosomal RNA is filed under the name uncultured bacterium. RNAcentral describes it as "partial 16S ribosomal RNA". It matches the Rfam family "Bacterial small subunit ribosomal RNA", at positions 15 to 248 of the family's 1533-position model. The record is from RNAcentral.